This 71-nucleotide transfer RNA is filed under the name Phrynosoma platyrhinos (Desert horned lizard). RNAcentral describes it as "tRNA-OTHER". Lineage: Eukaryota; Metazoa; Chordata; Lepidosauria; Squamata; Phrynosomatidae. The record is from RNAcentral.
AGCAAGUGUGGCAUAGUGGUUUGAGUGUUGACUACGACUCUGGAGACCAGGGUUCAAUUCCCGGUUGGCUA